Molecule: small nuclear RNA, 97 nt
Organism: Otolemur garnettii (small-eared galago)
Lineage: Eukaryota; Metazoa; Chordata; Mammalia; Primates; Galagidae
Source: Ensembl
AUGCUUGCUUUGGCGCACACAUACUAAAAUUCUAAUGAGAUUAGCAUGGCUCCUGCACAAGGAUGACACACAAAUUCAUGAAGCAUUCUAUAUUUUU